This 301-nucleotide ribosomal RNA is filed under the name uncultured bacterium. RNAcentral's name for it is "partial 16S ribosomal RNA". It matches the Rfam family "Bacterial small subunit ribosomal RNA", at positions 509 to 807 of the family's 1533-position model. The record is from RNAcentral.
CAGCAGCCGCGGUAAUACGUAGGUGGCAAGCGUUGUCCGGAAUUAUUGGGCGUAAAGGGCUCGCAGGCGGUUUCUUAAGUCUGAUGUGAAAGCCCCCGGCUCAACCGGGGAGGGUCAUUGGAAACUGGGAAACUUGAGUGCAGAAGAGGAGAGUGGAAUUCCACGUGUAGCGGUGAAAUGCGUAGAGAUGUGGAGGAACACCAGUGGCGAAGGCGACUCUCUGGUCUGUAACUGACGCUGAGGAGCGAAAGCGUGGGGAGCGAACAGGAUUAGAUACCCGUGUAGUCCCUGUCUCUUAUAC